Molecule: long non-coding RNA, 396 nt
Filed under: Chrysemys picta bellii (western painted turtle)
Lineage: Eukaryota; Metazoa; Chordata; Testudines; Emydidae
Description: lncRNA (ENSCPBG00000014351.1)
Source: RNAcentral
CAUUAGGAAGUUCAUCUGCAACAGCUGUGUGUGGAGCCCAGGAUUUGAACAGCAGUGAGGCUGCAGGGCAGGACUGAGGGACAUUGACAGAGCUGGGGUGUGGGGGAGCUUCUGUAGUGCAUGCCCAAACCAGACCUUGUUUUCUUUCUCUCUCCCAGCUGAAUAAGGAGACUCAGACAUACUCCUUCACCAUGAGCCAAGACAUUCCAGUGAAGGAUCUGAAGCCAGCAGUGGUCAAAGUCUAUGAUUACUACCAGCCAGAUGAGCAGGCGACAGUGGAAUAUACAGAUCCAUGCCAGUGAGGGGACGAGACAGAGACACCUUGUCCCUGGUGUAACUCACGGGAAUUCCUGGUUCUUCCAUUGCACUUAACUUCUGAGCCCAGGGGGAACAGAG